GUACUCACUUUGGCAGCACAUAUAUUAAAAUUGGAAAGAUACAGAGAAGAUUAGCAUGGCCCCUGCACAAGGGUGACAUGCAAAUUCAUGAAGCAUUCCACAUUUUA
This 107-nucleotide small nuclear RNA is filed under the name Rhinopithecus roxellana (golden snub-nosed monkey). Lineage: Eukaryota; Metazoa; Chordata; Mammalia; Primates; Cercopithecidae. The record is from RNAcentral.